GGGUUGUGAGGUUAAGCGACUAAGCGUACACGGUGGAUGCCCUGGCAGUCAGAGGCGAUGAAGGACGUGCUAAUCUGCGAUAAGCGUCGGUAAGGUGAUAUGAACCGUUAUAACCGGCGAUUUCCGAAUGGGGAAACCCAGUGUGUUUCGACACACUAUCAUUAACUGAAUCCAUAGGUUAAUGAGGCGAACCGGGGGAACUGAAACAUCUAAGUACCCCGAGGAAAAGAAAUCAACCGAGAUUCCCCCAGUAGCGGCGAGCGAACGGGGAGGAGCCCAGAGCCUGAAUCAGUGUGUGUGUUAGUGGAAGCGUCUGGAAAGGCGCGCGAUACAGGGUGACAGCCCCGUACACAAAAAUGCACAUGCUGUGAGCUCGAUGAGUAGGGCGGGACACGUGGUAUCCUGUCUGAAUAUGGGGGGACCAUCCUCCAAGGCUAAAUACUCCUGACUGACCGAUAGUGAACCAGUACCGUGAGGGAAAGGCGAAAAGAACCCCGGCGAGGGGAGUGAAAAAGAACCUGAAACCGUGUACGUACAAGCAGUGGGAGCACGCUUAGGCGUGUGACUGCGUACCUUUUGUAUAAUGGGUCAGCGACUUAUAUUCUGUAGCAAGGUUAACCGAAUAGGGGAGCCGAAGGGAAACCGAGUCUUAACUGGGCGUUAAGUUGCAGGGUAUAGACCCGAAACCCGGUGAUCUAGCCAUGGGCAGGUUGAAGGUUGGGUAACACUAACUGGAGGACCGAACCGACUAAUGUUGAAAAAUUAGCGGAUGACUUGUGGCUGGGGGUGAAAGGCCAAUCAAACCGGGAGAUAGCUGGUUCUCCCCGAAAGCUAUUUAGGUAGCGCCUCGUGAAUUCAUCUCCGGGGGUAGAGCACUGUUUCGGCAAGGGGGUCAUCCCGACUUACCAACCCGAUGCAAACUGCGAAUACCGGAGAAUGUUAUCACGGGAGACACACGGCGGGUGCUAACGUCCGUCGUGAAGAGGGAAACAACCCAGACCGCCAGCUAAGGUCCCAAAGUCAUGGUUAAGUGGGAAACGAUGUGGGAAGGCCCAGACAGCCAGGAUGUUGGCUUAGAAGCAGCCAUCAUUUAAAGAAAGCGUAAUAGCUCACUGGUCGAGUCGGCCUGCGCGGAAGAUGUAACGGGGCUAAACCAUGCACCGAAGCUGCGGCAGCGACGCUGAUGCGUUGUUGGGUAGGGGAGCGUUCUGUAAGCCUGUGAAGGUGUGCUGUGAGGCAUGCUGGAGGUAUCAGAAGUGCGAAUGCUGACAUAAGUAACGAUAAAGCGGGUGAAAAGCCCGCUCGCCGGAAGACCAAGGGUUCCUGUCCAACGUUAAUCGGGGCAGGGUGAGUCGACCCCUAAGGCGAGGCCGAAAGGCGUAGUCGAUGGGAAACAGGUUAAUAUUCCUGUACUUGGUGUUACUGCGAAGGGGGGACGGAGAAGGCUAUGUUGGCCGGGCGACGGUUGUCCCGGUUUAAGCGUGUAGGCUGGUUUUCCAGGCAAAUCCGGAAAAUCAAGGCUGAGGCGUGAUGACGAGGCACUACGGUGCUGAAGCAACAAAUGCCCUGCUUCCAGGAAAAGCCUCUAAGCAUCAGGUAACAUCAAAUCGUACCCCAAACCGACACAGGUGGUCAGGUAGAGAAUACCAAGGCGCUUGAGAGAACUCGGGUGAAGGAACUAGGCAAAAUGGUGCCGUAACUUCGGGAGAAGGCACGCUGAUAUGUAGGUGAAGUCCCUCGCGGAUGGAGCUGAAAUCAGUCGAAGAUACCAGCUGGCUGCAACUGUUUAUUAAAAACACAGCACUGUGCAAACACGAAAGUGGACGUAUACGGUGUGACGCCUGCCCGGUGCCGGAAGGUUAAUUGAUGGGGUCAGCGCAAGCGAAGCUCUUGAUCGAAGCCCCGGUAAACGGCGGCCGUAACUAUAACGGUCCUAAGGUAGCGAAAUUCCUUGUCGGGUAAGUUCCGACCUGCACGAAUGGCGUAAUGAUGGCCAGGCUGUCUCCACCCGAGACUCAGUGAAAUUGAACUCGCUGUGAAGAUGCAGUGUACCCGCGGCAAGACGGAAAGACCCCGUGAACCUUUACUAUAGCUUGACACUGAACAUUGAGCCUUGAUGUGUAGGAUAGGUGGGAGGCUUAGAAGUGUGGACGCCAGUCUGCAUGGAGCCGACCUUGAAAUACCACCCUUUAAUGUUUGAUGUUCUAACGUUGACCCGUAAUCCGGGUUGCGGACAGUGUCUGGUGGGUAGUUUGACUGGGGCGGUCUCCUCCUAAAGAGUAACGGAGGAGCACGAAGGUUGGCUAAUCCUGGUCGGACAUCAGGAGGUUAGUGCAAUGGCAUAAGCCAGCUUGACUGCGAGCGUGACGGCGCGAGCAGGUGCGAAAGCAGGUCAUAGUGAUCCGGUGGUUCUGAAUGGAAGGGCCAUCGCUCAACGGAUAAAAGGUACUCCGGGGAUAACAGGCUGAUACCGCCCAAGAGUUCAUAUCGACGGCGGUGUUUGGCACCUCGAUGUCGGCUCAUCACAUCCUGGGGCUGAAGUAGGUCCCAAGGGUAUGGCUGUUCGCCAUUUAAAGUGGUACGCGAGCUGGGUUUAGAACGUCGUGAGACAGUUCGGUCCCUAUCUGCCGUGGGCGCUGGAGAACUGAGGGGGGCUGCUCCUAGUACGAGAGGACCGGAGUGGACGCAUCACUGGUGUUCGGGUUGUCAUGCCAAUGGCACUGCCCGGUAGCUAAAUGCGGAAGAGAUAAGUGCUGAAAGCAUCUAAGCACGAAACUUGCCCCGAGAUGAGUUCUCCCUGAC
RNAcentral lists this ribosomal RNA (2802 nucleotides) under Escherichia coli. RNAcentral's name for it is "partial 23S ribosomal RNA". It matches the Rfam family "Bacterial large subunit ribosomal RNA". The record is from RNAcentral. Lineage: Bacteria; Pseudomonadati; Pseudomonadota; Gammaproteobacteria; Enterobacterales; Enterobacteriaceae.